This 2200-nucleotide ribosomal RNA is filed under the name Klebsiella pneumoniae. RNAcentral's name for it is "partial 23S ribosomal RNA". It matches the Rfam family "Bacterial large subunit ribosomal RNA", at positions 1 to 2228 of the family's 2925-position model. RNAcentral also lists the same sequence under 1 other name. The record is from RNAcentral. Lineage: Bacteria; Pseudomonadati; Pseudomonadota; Gammaproteobacteria; Enterobacterales; Enterobacteriaceae.
GGUUAAGCGACUAAGCGUACACGGUGGAUGCCCUGGCAGUCAGAGGCGAUGAAGGACGUGCUAAUCUGCGAAAAGCGUCGGUAAGGUGAUAUGAACCGUUAUAACCGGCGAUGUCCGAAUGGGGAAACCCAGUGCAAUUCGUUGCACUAUCGUUAACUGAAUACAUAGGUUAACGAGGCGAACCGGGGGAACUGAAACAUCUAAGUACCCCGAGGAAAAGAAAUCAACCGAGAUUCCCCCAGUAGCGGCGAGCGAACGGGGAGCAGCCCAGAGUCUGAAUCAGCUUGUGUGUUAGUGGAACGGUCUGGAAAGUCCGACGGUACAGGGUGAUAGUCCCGUACACCAAAAUGCACAGGCUGUGAACUCGAAGAGUAGGGCGGGACACGUGGUAUCCUGUCUGAAUAUGGGGGGACCAUCCUCCAAGGCUAAAUACUCCUGACUGACCGAUAGUGAACCAGUACCGUGAGGGAAAGGCGAAAAGAACCCCGGCGAGGGGAGUGAAAAAGAACCUGAAACCGUGUACGUACAAGCAGUGGGAGCACCUUCGGGUGUGACUGCGUACCUUUUGUAUAAUGGGUCAGCGACUUAUAUUCUGUAGCAAGGUUAACCGUAUAGGGGAGCCGCAGGGAAACCGAGUCUUAACUGGGCGUUAAGUUGCAGGGUAUAGACCCGAAACCCGGUGAUCUAGCCAUGGGCAGGUUGAAGGUUGGGUAACACUAACUGGAGGACCGAACCGACUAAUGUUGAAAAAUUAGCGGAUGACUUGUGGCUGGGGGUGAAAGGCCAAUCAAACCGGGAGAUAGCUGGUUCUCCCCGAAAGCUAUUUAGGUAGCGCCUCGUGAACUCAUCUUCGGGGGUAGAGCACUGUUUCGGCUAGGGGGUCAUCCCGACUUACCAACCCGAUGCAAACUACGAAUACCGAAGAAUGUUAUCACGGGAGACACACGGCGGGUGCUAACGUCCGUCGUGAAGAGGGAAACAACCCAGACCGCCAGCUAAGGUCCCAAAGUCAUGGUUAAGUGGGAAACGAUGUGGGAAGGCACAGACAGCCAGGAUGUUGGCUUAGAAGCAGCCAUCAUUUAAAGAAAGCGUAAUAGCUCACUGGUCGAGUCGGCCUGCGCGGAAGAUGUAACGGGGCUAAACCAUGCACCGAAGCUGCGGCAGCGACACUAUGUGUUGUUGGGUAGGGGAGCGUUCUGUAAGCCUGCGAAGGUGACCUGUGAGGGUUGCUGGAGGUAUCAGAAGUGCGAAUGCUGACAUAAGUAACGAUAAAGCGGGUGAAAAGCCCGCUCGCCGGAAGACCAAGGGUUCCUGUCCAACGUUAAUCGGGGCAGGGUGAGUCGACCCCUAAGGCGAGGCCGAAAGGCGUAGUCGAUGGGAAACAGGUUAAUAUUCCUGUACUUGGUGUUACUGCGAAGGGGGGACGGAGAAGGCUAUGUUAGCCGGGCGACGGUUGUCCCGGUUUAAGCAUGUAGGCUGGUUAUCCAGGCAAAUCCGGAUAAUCAAGGCUGAGGUGUGAUGACGAGGCACUACGGUGCUGAAGUAACAAAUGCCCUGCUUCCAGGAAAAGCCUCUAAGCAUCAGGUAACAUCAAAUCGUACCCCAAACCGACACAGGUGGUCAGGUAGAGAAUACCAAGGCGCUUGAGAGAACUCGGGUGAAGGAACUAGGCAAAAUGGUGCCGUAACUUCGGGAGAAGGCACGCUGGUGUGUAGGUGAAGUCCCUGCGGAUGGAGCUGAGACCAGUCGAAGAUACCAGCUGGCUGCAACUGUUUAUUAAAAACACAGCACUGUGCAAACACGAAAGUGGACGUAUACGGUGUGACGCCUGCCCGGUGCCGGAAGGUUAAUUGAUGGGGUUAUCCGUAAGGAGAAGCUCUUGAUCGAAGCCCCGGUAAACGGCGGCCGUAACUAUAACGGUCCUAAGGUAGCGAAAUUCCUUGUCGGGUAAGUUCCGACCUGCACGAAUGGCGUAAUGAUGGCCAGGCUGUCUCCACCCGAGACUCAGUGAAAUUGAACUCGCUGUGAAGAUGCAGUGUACCCGCGGCAAGACGGAAAGACCCCGUGAACCUUUACUAUAGCUUGACACUGAACAUUGAGCCUUGAUGUGUAGGAUAGGUGGGAGGCUUUGAAGCGUGGACGCCAGUCUGCGUGGAGCCAACCUUGAAAUACCACCCUUUAAUGUUUGAUGUUCUAACGU